GACGAACGCUGGCGGCGUGCCUAAUACAUGCAAGUCGAACGAGAGCGACCGGUGCUUGCACUGGUCAAUCUAGUGGCGAACGGGUGAGUAACACGUGGGUAACCUGCCCAUCAGAGGGGGAUAACAUUCGGAAACGGAUGCUAAAACCGCAUAGGUCUUCGAACCGCAUGGUUUGAAGAGGAAAAGAGGCGCAAGCUUCUGCUGAUGGAUGGACCCGCGGUGCAUUAGCUAGUUGGUGAGGUAACGGCUCACCAAGGCCGUGAUGCAUAGCCGACCUGAGAGGGUGAUCGGCCACAUUGGGACUGAGACACGGCCCAAACUCCUACGUGAGGCAGCAGUAGGGAAUCUUCCGCAAUGGACGCAAGUCUGACGGAGCAACGCCGCGUGAGUGAAGAAGGUUUUCGGAUCGUAAAACUCUGUUGUUAGAGAAGAACAAGUGCUAGAGUAACUGUUAGCGCCUUGACGGUAUCUAACCAGAAAGCCACGGCUAACUACGUG
This 498-nucleotide ribosomal RNA is filed under the name uncultured bacterium. RNAcentral's name for it is "partial 16S ribosomal RNA". It matches the Rfam family "Bacterial small subunit ribosomal RNA", at positions 28 to 507 of the family's 1533-position model. The record is from RNAcentral.